AAAAGAAACUAACAAGGAUUCCCUCAGUAACGGCGAGUGAAGCGGGAAGAGCUCAAAUUUGGAAUCACGGCAGUGCCUGCUGUGAAUUGUAAAUUCAAGACAUGUGGGAAAGUGGAAGGGCGUGUUCAAGUCUCCUGGAAUGGAGCACCACAGAGGGUGACAGUCCCGUCUGGACACGACUGACCGUGAAUCUCUAGUGUCGACGAGCCGAGUUGCUUGGGAAUGCAGCUCAAAUGGGUGGUAAAUUCCAUCCAAGGCUAAAUAUUGGCAAGAGACCGAUAGCGAACAAGUACCGUGAGGGAAAGAUGAAAAGCACCUUGAAAAGGGAGUUAAAUAGCACGUGAAAUUGUUAAAAGGGAAACGAUCGCGGCUGAGUGCGAGGUGAACUGAAGGCAGUCUUCUGUGGGAGAUUGCAGUAUGGUCCACUUCAAGUGGGAAUCGGUGCAGGUUGCUGAAUAAGACUAGAGUGAGGGCAUCUGACUUUGGUCGCAUUGCCUCCUUUGGGACAGCAGUGACGUAUACCGGUUUCCAUGUUUGGCCUUGAACGACCCGUCUUGAAACACGGACCAAGGAGUCUAACAUGUAAGCGAGUAUUUGGGUGGCAAACCCGAAUGCGUAGCGAAAGCGAAGUGUACGAGAGUUGCAAGACUUGCAGUACCGGUGUGUGUCGAAAUUAUUAUCCUCACACAGCCAGAGCUUAUAUGCUGGGACCCGAAAGGUGGUGAACUAUGCCUGAAUAGGGCGAAGUCAGAGGAAACUCUGGUGGAGGCUCGUAGCCGUUCUGACGUGCAAAUCGAUGGUCAAAUUUGGGUAUAGGGGCGAAAGACUAAUCGAACCAUCUAGUAGCUGGUUCCCUCCGAAGUGUCCCCCAGGAUAGCUGGAACUCUUGAGCAGUUUUAUCAGGUAAAGCGAAUGAUUAGAGGCCUUGGGGCAGUAACUGCCUUAACCUAUUCUCAAACUUUAAAUGGGUAAGAGGGCGUGGGGUACUUGAGUGACCCUGUGCUGUAGAAUGCGAGUAGUUCUUAGUGGGCCAUUUUUGGUAAGCAGAACUGGCGAUGCGGGAUGAACCGAACGUCGGGCUAAGGUGCCGGAGUACACGCUCAUCAGACACCAUAAAAGGUGUUAGUUCAUCCAGACAGCAGGGCGGUGGCCAUGAAAGUCGGCAUCCGCUAAGGAGUGUGUUAUGACUCACCUGCCGAAUGAACUAGCCCUGAAAAUGGAUGGCGCUCAAGCGUGUGACCGAUGCCCGACCCACAAUCUGGAUAGGCUGGAUUGUGGAGUAGGAGGGCGUGGGGGUGGCGGAGCAGCCUGAAUCGUGAGAUUGGGUGAAGCCGCCUCUAGUGCAGAUCUUGGUGGUAGUAGCAAAUAUUCAAAUGAGAUCUUUGAAGACUGAAGUGGGGAAAGGUUCCAUGUGAACAGUGCUUGACCAUGGGUGAGUCGAUCCUAAGCUCUAUGUUAACGCAAUAGAAAGGGAAAAGUUAAUUUUUCCGGAGCGAAAGGGAAUCCGUUUAAGAUUACGGAACCAGUUGUGGGGUGUAGACGGCAACGGUCAUGAACUUGGAGACGCUGGCGCAGGUUCCGGGAAGAGUUUUCUUUUCUUCUUAACAGUCGAGGGGCCCUGGAAGCAGUUUAACUGGCGGGAGGGCUUGCCGACUGGUAGAGCAGCGCAUUUUUGUGCUGUCCGGUGCACCUGUGACGGUCCGUGAAAAUCCAGGGGAGGUAAUUGCCUUUGCAACUGGUCGUACUGAUAACCGCAGCAGGUCCUCAAGGUGAAGAGCCUCUAGUUGGUAGAACAAUGUAGGUAAGGGAAGUCGGCAAAAUAGAUCCGUAACUUUGGGAAAAGGAUUGGCUCUUGUGUCUCGGGGAGGUGGUGAGAUUGCAUCAAGCCACGCCCGAUUAUGAGACGAACAAGAACUGGUACGGACAAGGG
RNAcentral lists this ribosomal RNA (1930 nucleotides) under uncultured Rozellomycota. RNAcentral describes it as "eukaryotic LSU rRNA". It matches the Rfam family "Eukaryotic large subunit ribosomal RNA", at positions 57 to 2129 of the family's 3401-position model. Lineage: Eukaryota; Fungi; Rozellomycota. The record is from RNAcentral.